This 397-nucleotide ribosomal RNA is filed under the name uncultured bacterium. RNAcentral describes it as "bacterial SSU rRNA". It matches the Rfam family "Bacterial small subunit ribosomal RNA", at positions 30 to 426 of the family's 1533-position model. The record is from RNAcentral.
AUUGAACGCUGGCGGCGUGCUUAACACAUGCAAGUCGUGCGGUAACAGGCGUAGCAAUACGUGCUGACGAGCGGCGAACGGGUGCGUAAUACAUGGGAAUCUGCCUUUUAGUGGGGAAUAACCCGGCGAAAGCCGGGCUAAUGCCGCAUAAGAUCUUCGGAUGAAAGCGGGGGAUCGUAAGACCUCGCGCUGAUAGAUGAGCCCAUGCCGGAUUAGCAGUUGGUGAGGUAACGGCUCACCAAGGCGACGAUCCGUAGCUGGUCUGAGAGGACGGCCAGCCACACUGGGACUGAGACACGGCCCAGACUCCUACGGGAGGCAGCAGUGGGGAAUAUUGGACAAUGGGGGAAACCCUGAUCCAGCGACGCCGCGUGUGUGAAGAAGGCCUGCGGGUUGU